UACGUAGGGGGCAAGCGUUGUCCGGAUUUAUUGGGCGUAAAGAGCGUGUAGGCGGUCAGGUAGGUCCGUUGUGAAAACUCGAGGCUCAACCUCGAGACGCCGAUGGAAACCAUCUGACUAGAGUCCGGAAGAGGAGAGUGGAAUUCCUGGUGUAGCGGUGAAAUGCGCAGAUAUCAGGAAGAACACCCGUGGCGAAGGCGGCUCUCUGGGACGGUACUGACACUGAGACGCGAAAGCGUGGGGAGCGAACAGG
RNAcentral lists this ribosomal RNA (253 nucleotides) under uncultured bacterium. RNAcentral's name for it is "partial 16S ribosomal RNA". It matches the Rfam family "Bacterial small subunit ribosomal RNA", at positions 524 to 776 of the family's 1533-position model. The record is from RNAcentral.